CCUACGGGAGGCUGCAGUGGGGAAUAUUGGACAAUGGGGGGAACCCUGAUCCAGCCAUGCCGCGUGUGUGAAGAAGGCCCUCGGGUUGUAAAGCACUUUCAGUGAGGAAGAACGCCUGGUGGUUAAUACCCAUCAGGAAAGACAUCACUCACAGAAGAAGCACCGGCUAACUCCGUGCCAGCAGCCGCGGUAAUACGGAGGGUGCGAGCGUUAAUCGGAAUUACUGGGCGUAAAGCGCGCGUAGGUGGCUUGAUAAGCCGGUUGUGAAAGCCCCGGGCUCAACUUGGGAACGGCAUCCGGAACUGUCAAGCUAGAGUGCAGGAGAGGAAGGUAGAAUUCCCGGUGUAGCGGUGAAAUGCGUAGAGAUCGGGAGGAAUACCAGUGGCGAAGGCGGCCUUCUGGACUGACACUGACACUGAGGUGCGAAAGCGUGGGUAGCAAACAGGAUUAGAUACCCUAGUAGUC
RNAcentral lists this ribosomal RNA (465 nucleotides) under Vreelandella stevensii. RNAcentral's name for it is "partial 16S ribosomal RNA". It matches the Rfam family "Bacterial small subunit ribosomal RNA", at positions 338 to 795 of the family's 1533-position model. Lineage: Bacteria; Pseudomonadati; Pseudomonadota; Gammaproteobacteria; Oceanospirillales; Halomonadaceae. The record is from RNAcentral.